AGAGUGAAGCCGUAAGCCCUGAUGACUCCAGUAGCGUUGAGGAGGGCGAGGUGCUGGAAACGGCAAGAUCACUUUAUGGAGGCAAAAGGAAGCAGGCCAGAGCAGCAGGGCAGGGCCGCGUCCUAGCUUGCUGACGACCUGCAGAGUAGCUGUUAAGUGAUUCCGGGUCACGGGGCCAAGCAGUGAUGUGAACUUAAUCUGUUUUGCCAGCGUCCUACCUCCUAUGCUUAGAGACCAUCCCUCAGCGAUGCGCAUUGAGAGUUUUGCUGAGAGAACUCUGAGACACCUGAUCGCCCGCAAUUUGGAAGAAACAAUGUGUCCUCUGAUCAACAGCUGGCUCUACAACCUGGAUCAGCGCUUGGUCAAUGAAAUCAGCACGGUGCUGAGAGAGGACAGCUCCCAGGACAGUAGCGCGGGGGCCGCAGAGUGAAGGAGCCCCGUCUGUCCUACACUGACGCGGGUCCUGCUCGCUGAUCUCCAUCGGAUGUCCUUGGUCUCCAGGUCUCCAACUGCUCAGAUCACGUUGAUGAUUCAGCCACUGGGCCCAAGGACCCCCCACUUCCCUGGGAAUGGAGGCUCUCUCCGCAAAUCCUCACCAGAACCCACAUGCUGAUUCCACAUAAUCUUCCAAUAAAUGAUUUGCAGCCUGUCCUGCCUACACAGUGCUGUGUGGUGGAGGCCACGGGCAUCAGAGACUUGGUAGCUCGAGUCGUGGUGGCAAAAGGUGG
Non-coding RNA from Oryctolagus cuniculus (rabbit), 728 nucleotides. NCBI's taxonomy places the organism in Eukaryota, Metazoa, Chordata, Mammalia, Lagomorpha, Leporidae. The record is from RefSeq and is a predicted model, not a curated record.